GAUGAACGCUGGCGGCGUGCCUAAUACAUGCAAGUCGAGCGAACAGAUGAGGAUCUUGCUCCUCUGACGUUAGCGGCGGACGGGUGAGUAACACGUGGAUAACCUACCUAUAAGACUGGGAUAACUUCGGGAAACCGGAGCUAAUACCGGAUAAUAUAUUGAACCGCAUGGUUCAUUAGUGAAAGACGGUUUUGCUGUCACUUAUAGAUGGAUCCGCGCCGCAUUAGCUAGUUGGUAAGGUAACGGCUUACCAAGGCAACGAUGCGUAGCCGACCUGAGAGGGUGAUCGGACACACUGGAACUGAGACACGGUCCAGACUCCUACGGGAGGCAGCAGUAGGGAAUCUUCCGCAAUGGGCGAAAGCCUGAUGGAGCAACGCCGCGUGAGUGAUGAAGGUCUUCGGAUCGUAAAACUCUGUUAUUAGGGAAGAACAAAUGUGUAAGUAACUAUGCACGUCUUGACGGUACCUAAUCAGAAAGCCACGGCUAACUACGUG
Molecule: ribosomal RNA, 497 nt
Filed under: uncultured bacterium
Lineage: Bacteria
Description: partial 16S ribosomal RNA
Rfam family: Bacterial small subunit ribosomal RNA
Source: RNAcentral